GCCAUGGAGGCUGAAGAAACGAUGGAAUGCCUUCAGGAGUUUCCUGAACAUCAUAAAAUGAUCCUGGACCGAUUGAAUGGACAGCGGGAGCAGGACCAGUUUACCGACAUCACCCUCAUUGUCAAUGGACACCAUUUUAAGGCUCACAAGGCUGUUUUGGCUGCUUGCAGUAAGUUCUUCUACAAAUUCUUUCAAGAAUUUACUCAAGAACCUUUGGUAGAAAUAGAAGGUGUUAGUAAAAUGGCUUUUCGUCAUUUAAUUGAAUUCACAUAUACAGCAAAAUGGAUGAUACAAGGAGAAGAAGAAGCCAAUGAUGUAUGGAAAGCAGCAGAGUUUCUACAAAUGCUUGAAGCUAUCAAAGCCCUUGAAGUCAGAAACAAGGAAAACUCAGCUCCGCUAGAGGAAAAUACCACAGGGAAACGUGAGACAAAAAAAAAAUGAAAGAUUGCAGAAACUUCAAAUGUUAUCACUGAGUCAUUGCCAUCUGCAGAAUCAGAACCUGUUGAAAUUGAGGUGGAGAUUGCCGAAGGCACAAUCGAAGUUGAAGAUGAAGGCAUCGAGACAUUAGAGGAAGUGGCAUCUGCUAAGCAGUCCAUAAAGUACGUACAGAGCACAGGUUCCUCUGAUGAUUCUGCUCUAGCACUGUUGGCGGAUAUUAUCUGCAAGUACCAUCAAGGUGAUAGAAAAGGACAGAUUAAAGAAGAUGGCUGUGCAUCUGACCCCAUAAGCAAAUAGGAACACAUGAAAUCACACUCCACAGAGAGUUUCAAGUGUGAAAUAUGCAAUAAAAGGUAUCUUUGAGAGCGUGCAUGGAAACAGCACCUAAAUUGUUACCACCUUGAAGAAGGUGGAGUCAGUAAGAAGCAAAGAACUGGGGAAAAAAAUUCACAUUUGUCAGUACUGUGACAAACAGUUUGACCACUUUGGACAUUUUAAAGAGCAUCUUCAAAAACAUACAGGUGAAAAGCCUUUUGAAUGUCCAAAUUGUCAUGAAAGAUUGCUAGAAACAGCACCCUGAAAUGUCACCUCACGGCAUGCCAAAAUGGAGUAGGGGCAAAAAAGGGAAGGAAGAAGCUUUAUGAAUGCCAGGUUUGUAAUAGUGUCUUUAACAGCUGGGACCAGUUCAAAGAUCACUUGGUAAUACAUACUGGAGAUAAACCCAACCAUUGUACUCUAUGUGACUUGUGGUUUAUGCAAGGAAAUGAAUUGAGGUGGCAUCUCAGUGAUGCUCACAUUUCAGAGCAUCUAAUAGCAGAAGUUCUUUCAGUAGAAACACAUGUGCAAACUGAGCCAGUGACAUCAAUGACGACUAUAGAACAAGUCGGGAAGGUGCAUGUGUUACCAUUGCUUCAGGUCCAGGUAGACUCUGCACAAGUGACUGUGGAACAGGUCCAUCCAGAUCUGCUUCAGGACAGCCAAGUGCAUGAUCUGUAGAUCAUCAUCAGUGAACUUCCAGAGCAGGUCCAAGUGAGUUAUCUAGAAGUGGGUCGAAUUCAUACGGAAGAAGGUACUGAAGUACAUGUUGAGGAGCUCCAUGUUGAACGGGUAAAUCAAAUGCCAGUGGAAGUACAUACUGAGCUUCUAGAGGCAGACUUGGAUCACAUGACUCCUGAAAUCAUGAACCAAGAGCAGAGAGCACCUACCCAAGCAGAAGAUGUAGAGGCUGCCAGUGAAGAUCAUGAAGGUGCUGAGGGUUUAGAGAGAAAGCCAAUGGAAGAUUCCCAAAAUGAAAAGGCAGAAAAUGACAGAACUAUGCCCAUUUUACAAUGA
This is an RNA transcript of Perognathus longimembris pacificus (Pacific pocket mouse), 1770 nucleotides long. It is a transcript of the gene named zinc finger protein 131-like, with no coding region annotated. NCBI's taxonomy places the organism in Eukaryota, Metazoa, Chordata, Mammalia, Rodentia, Heteromyidae. The record is from RefSeq and is a predicted model, not a curated record. The transcript has a single exon.